GGAAACGAUAGCUAAUACCGCAUAACAAUGUUAGAUGCAUAUUUAACAUUUGAAAGUACCAAUUGGUACACUAUGAGAUGGACCCGCGUUGUAUUAGCUAGUUGGUAGUGUAAUGGACUACCAAGGCGAUGAUACAUAGCCGACCUGAGAGGGUGAUCGGCCACAUUGGGACUGAGACACGGCCCAAACUCCUACGGGAGGCAGCAGUAGGGAAUCUUCGGCAAUGGACGAAAGUCUGACCGAGCAACGCCGCGUGAGUGAAGAAGGUUUUCGGAUCGUAAAACUCUGUUGUUAGAGAAGAACGUUGAUUAGAGUGGAAAAUUAAUCAAGUGACGGUAUCUAACCAGAAAGGGACGGCUAACUACGUGCCAGCAGCCGCGGUAAUACGUAGGUCCCGAGCGUUGUCCGGAUUUAUUGGGCGUAAAGCGAGCGCAGGUGGUUUAAUAAGUCUGAUGUAAAAGGCAGUGGCUCAACCAUUGUGUGCAUUGGAAACUGUUAGACUUGAGUGCAGUAGAGGAGAGUGGAAUUCCAUGUGUAGCGGUGAAAUGCGUAGAUAUAUGGAGGAACACCGGUGGCGAAAGCGGCUCUCUGGACUGUCACUGACACUGAGGCUCGAAAGCGUGGGUAGCAAACAGGAUUAGAUACCCUGGUAGUCCACGCCGUAAACGAUGAGUGCUAGUUGUUUGGGGCUAUCCAGCCCUAAGUGACGCAGCAAACGCAUUAAGCACUCCGCCUGGGGGAGUACGACCGCAAGGUUGAAACUCAAAGGAAUUGACGGGGGCCCGCACAAGCGGUGGAGCAUGUGGUUUAAUUCGAAGCAACGCGAAGAACCUUACCAGGUCUUGACAUACUCGUGCUAUUCCUAGAGAUAGGAAGUUCCUUCGGGACACGKGAURGCRGGUGGUGCAUGGUUGUCGUCAGCUCGUGUC
This 929-nucleotide ribosomal RNA is filed under the name Pseudolactococcus laudensis. RNAcentral describes it as "bacterial SSU rRNA". The record is from RNAcentral. Lineage: Bacteria; Bacillati; Bacillota; Bacilli; Lactobacillales; Streptococcaceae.